UAUAUCGAUAAUUCAAAAUGGCAGCAGUUAAUGCUACUUUCGAACGAAAGCAUAUUAACCCUUACAGGUUAGUGGUUAUUGUCCGGUAUCAAAAUGGCUAUAAAAAAAGCGCCCGCAGGCGCUUGAUA
This 128-nucleotide small RNA is filed under the name uncultured Superficieibacter sp. RNAcentral describes it as "Enterobacteria sRNA STnc130". It matches the Rfam family "Enterobacteria sRNA STnc130". Lineage: Bacteria; Pseudomonadati; Pseudomonadota; Gammaproteobacteria; Enterobacterales; Enterobacteriaceae. The record is from RNAcentral.